This is a non-coding RNA of Podarcis lilfordi (Lilford's wall lizard), 83 nucleotides long. NCBI's taxonomy places the organism in Eukaryota, Metazoa, Chordata, Lepidosauria, Squamata, Lacertidae. The record is from the annotation of a GenBank genome assembly.
UGCACCAUGGCUCAGCGGUGGAGCUUUAUGCUUUGUGUGCUGAAGGUCCCGGGUUCAAAUCCUGACACCCCCGGGGUUAGAAU